Molecule: ribosomal RNA, 1942 nt
Filed under: human gut metagenome
Description: bacterial LSU rRNA
Rfam family: Bacterial large subunit ribosomal RNA
Source: RNAcentral
GAAAGUAAAGAAGGGCGUAUGGCGGAUGCCUAGGCUCUCGGAGGCGAAGAAGGACGUGAUAAGCUGCGAAAAGCUGCGGCGAGGAGCAAAUAUCCUGUGACCCGCAGAUCUCCGAAUGGGGCAACCCGGCAGGACAACCUGUCAUCCCGGGAAACGGGAAGCAAACGUGGGGAACUGAAACAUCUCAUUACCCACAGGAAAAGAAAAUAACAAUGAUUCCGUCAGUAGUGGCGAGCGAAAGCGGAAGAGCCCAAACCGGUUCUGUUUCGGCAGAGCCGGGGUAGAAGGACUGCAUAGUACAAAGGAGCAGGUAGCCGAACGGUCUGGAAAGGCCGGUCAGAGACGGUGAUAACCCGGUAGGCGAAACCAGCGACGGCGUCAGCAGUAUCCUGAGUAGUGCGGGACACGAGAAAUCCUGUAUGAAUCGGCGGGGACCAUCCCGUAAGGCUAAAUACUCCCGAGAGACCGAUAGCGAACCAGUACUGUGAAGGAAAGGUGAAAAGAACCUCGAACAGAGGAGUGAAAGAGACCCUGAAACCAUGCGCCUACAAGCGGUCGGAGCAUGUUAAAAUGUGACGGCGUGCCUUUUGCAUAAUGAACCUACGAGUUACUCUCGCUGGCAAGGUUAAGCGAUUCAGUCGCGCAGCCGAAGCGAAAGCAAGUCCGAACAAGGCGUACAGUCAGCGGGAGUAGACGCGAAACCAAGUGAUCUACCCUUGGUCAGGUUGAAGGUUGGGUAACACCAACUGGAGGACCGCACCGAUAAGCGUUGAAAAGCUUACGGAUGAACUGAGGGUAGGAGUGAAAGGCCAAUCAAACUUGGAGAUAGCUCGUACUCCCCGAAAUGCAUUUAGGUGCAGCCUCGAAGCAGAGUGAUAGAGGUAGAGCGACUGAUAAGAUGCGAGGGCUUCACCGCCUAUCAAGUCUUGACAAACUCCGAAUACUAUCACUUGAUCUUUGGGAGUGAGGGCAUGGGUGCUAAGGUCCAUGUCCGAAAGAGGAACAACUCAGACCACCGGCUAAGGUCCCGAAAUAAGGGCUAAGUUGAAUAAACGAAGUAAAACUGCAAAGACAGCUAGGAUGUUGGCUUGGAAGCAGCCAUUCAUUUAAAGAGUGCGUAACAGCUCACUAGUCGAGGAGUUUUGCAUGGAUAAUAAUCGGGCAUAAGCCCUUUACCGAAGCUGUGGAUGUCGUAAGACAUGGUAGGGGAGCAUUCCGGCGGCGACGAAGGCCGUCCUCGAGGACGACUGGAGCUUUCGGAAAAGCAAAUGUAGGUAUAAGUAACGAUAAAGGGGGCGUGAAACCCCCUCGCCAUAAGACUAAGGAUUCCUGAUCAACGCUAAUCGGAUCAGGGUAAGUCGGGCCCUAAGGCGCAGCCGAACGGCGUAGCCGAUGGAAGAAACGGUAAAGAUUCCGUUACUGGAUAUAGGAGCGAUGUGGAGACGGAGAAGUGACACACCCGCCUGCCGACGGAAGCGCAGGUUAAAGGAAGUAGGUAAACGCCGGGCAGGCAAAUCCGCCCAGCGUGCCGAAGCUGACAGUAUCGAGAGCCCCCGGGCAAUCGAAUAGCGGUGGUAACCAGGCUCCCAAGAAAAUCCGCUAAGCAAAUUCUAUAUCCACCCGUACCCCAAACGGACACACGUAGUCGGGUAGAAUAUACCAAGGCGCUCGAAAGACUCACGGUUAAGGAACUAGGCAAAUUGACCCUGUAACCUCGGGAAAAAGGGUCCCCAGUAAGAUGGGGCGCAGAGAAUAGGUCCAGGCAACUGUUUAACAAAAACACAGGGCUGUGCAAAAUUUCAAGAUGAAGUAUACAGCCUGACACCUGCCCGGUGCCGGAAGGUUAAGAGGAGAGCUAAUCGCAAGAGAAGGCUUGAAUUGAAGCCCCGGUAAACGGCGGCCGUAACUAUAACGGUCCUAAGGUAGCGAAAUUCCUUGUCGG